AUUGAACGCUGGCGGCAUGCUUUACACAUGCAAGUCGAACGGCAGCACGGGCUUCGGCCUGGUGGCGAGUGGCGAACGGGUGAGUAAUAUAUCGGAACGUACCCAGAAGUGGGGGAUAACGUAGCGAAAGUUACGCUAAUACCGCAUACGAUCUAUGGAUGAAAGCAGGGGACCGCAAGGCCUUGUGCUCCUGGAGCGGCCGAUAUCUGAUUAGCUAGUUGGUGAGGUAAAGGCUCACCAAGGCGACGAUCAGUAGCUGGUCUGAGAGGACGACCAGCCACACUGGAACUGAGACACAGUCCAGACUCCUACGGGAGGCAGCAGUGGGGAAUUUUGGACAAUGGGCGCAAGCCUGAUCCAGCAAUGCCGCGUGAGUGAAGAAGGCCUUCGGGUUGUAAAGCUCUUUUGUCAGGGAAGAAACGGUAGAGGCUAAUAUCCUUUGCUAAUGACGGUACCUGAAGAAUAAGCACCGGCUAACUACGUG
Molecule: ribosomal RNA, 484 nt
Filed under: uncultured bacterium
Lineage: Bacteria
Description: partial 16S ribosomal RNA
Rfam family: Bacterial small subunit ribosomal RNA
Source: RNAcentral